RNAcentral lists this long non-coding RNA (846 nucleotides) under Zonotrichia albicollis (white-throated sparrow). RNAcentral's name for it is "lncRNA (ENSZALG00000004545.1)". Lineage: Eukaryota; Metazoa; Chordata; Aves; Passeriformes; Passerellidae. The record is from RNAcentral.
GGGAAUCUUUUGGGAUUGCAAAUCCCUACAGAGGAAAAGCAGGAGCUCCUUAGGGUCAGGAAUCCUCAUCCAAGGAAAUCAGGAACUUUUUGGGAUUGGGAAUCUCUAUCCAAGGAAAUCAGGAAUUAUUUGGGAUUUGGGAAUCCCUAUCCAAUGAAAUCAGGAGCUCCUCAGGGUCAGAAAUUCCUGUCCAGGGAAAUCAGGAAAUUUUUGGGAUUGGGAAUCCCUACAGAGAAAAAGCAGGAGCUCCUUAGGGUCAGGAAUCCUCAUCCAAGGAAAUCAGGAUAUUUUUGGGAUUGGGAAUCCCUGUCCAGGGAAAUCAGGAGCGUCCCAGGUUUCCCAACCCCCAUCCCUGGCACACGGGACCCUUUUGGGGUCGCCAAUCCCAAACCAGGAUCAUCCCAAAGGCUCCAAUCCCUUUUCCCGGGCGGGUGGGACCUGCUGGGCUGGGGAAUCCCGGGAAAGCGGCAGCUCCAGCCCCAUUCCCGCUGCUCAUCCAUGAAAAUCCCCCCGGAUCAGCGGGAUCGGGGCCGCCCGAGCGUGAACGGGGCUGAGCUCAUGGAAUUCCCGGCAUUCCCGACGUUCCCAGCCCCCCAUGGAAACCCCACAAACCCCGGUUGGGAUGGGCAGGCCGGGAUCCAUCGAUGCCACGUUUUCCCCGACUCUUUUUCCCGGUUUUCCUUGGAUUUCUCCCCCAAAUCCCUCCUUUCCCCACCACCACCCCCCAACGCUGGACAUUUCCGACGAGGUGAAUCCCAAAUAAACUUUUUUUUGGAAGGGAGUGGGGCCGGGGUUUUCCUUGGAAAAAUGAGUGAGUGGGUUUGGCUGCCCCGUGAUUCCCAGUGA